RNAcentral lists this ribosomal RNA (468 nucleotides) under uncultured bacterium. RNAcentral's name for it is "partial 16S ribosomal RNA". It matches the Rfam family "Bacterial small subunit ribosomal RNA", at positions 28 to 507 of the family's 1533-position model. The record is from RNAcentral.
GACGAACGCUGGCGGCGUGCUUAACACAUGCAAGUCGAACGGAAAGGCCCUGCUUUUGUGGGGUGCUCGAGUGGCGAACGGGUGAGUAACACGUGAGUAACCUGCCCUUGACUUUGGGAUAACUUCAGGAAACUGGGCUAAUACCCGGUUGGAGCUCCUGCCGCCUGGUGGGGGGUUGGAAAUUUUCGGCGGUUGGGGAUGGACUCGCGGCUUAUCAGCUUGUUGGUGGGGUAGUGGCUUACCAAGGCUUUGACGGGUAGCCGGCCUGAGAGGGUGACCGGCCACAUUGGGACUGAGAUACGGCCCAGACUCCUACGGGAGGCAGCAGUGGGGAAUAUUGCACAAUGGGCGGAAGCCUGAUGCAGCAACGCCGCGUGCGGGAUGACGGCCUUCGGGUUGUAAACCGCUUUCGCCUGUGACGAAGCGUGAGUGACGGUAAUGGGUAAAGAAGCACCGGCUAACUACGUG